UGGACCAAAGCUGAGAACGUAUUAGGAACCAAGGAUAAUGGUUAAUCUAAUUCUGAUGUCCCUGAGGUUGAAA
This 73-nucleotide small nucleolar RNA is filed under the name Loxodonta africana (African savanna elephant). RNAcentral describes it as "Small nucleolar RNA SNORD112 (ENSLAFG00000033124.1)". Lineage: Eukaryota; Metazoa; Chordata; Mammalia; Proboscidea; Elephantidae. The record is from RNAcentral.